GCGCUUUCUUAUUGCGGGCCGCGUUGCCCGCCAGCCCCAGGAUCUCGGUGGCCAGGUACAGCGACGCGCCGCCUCUGCCCUGCUCGCAGUAGCCGCCCUUGUGCAGUAGAUGGACGGCCUACUGGGGACUGCAGGCCCGCGGCGGGAAGAGCGGGUCGCAGCCUUGGCGCACGUUUUACCUCCGUUUCCCGCGGCCAGACAGGGGCUGUUAGCUAAUCAGGAUGUACCUUUGGACCUGUAUGGGCUCCGGCGAGGGAGAACAGUGCACCAAUCAGAGGUUGAGAUAUUAAAAGUUGUAUUCUGGGAAGUA
Molecule: long non-coding RNA, 310 nt
Organism: Galeopterus variegatus (Sunda flying lemur)
Lineage: Eukaryota; Metazoa; Chordata; Mammalia; Dermoptera; Cynocephalidae
Exons: 2
Source: RefSeq, a predicted model, not a curated record